This is a long non-coding RNA of Callorhinus ursinus (northern fur seal), 919 nucleotides long. RefSeq lists it as uncharacterized. NCBI's taxonomy places the organism in Eukaryota, Metazoa, Chordata, Mammalia, Carnivora, Otariidae. The record is from RefSeq and is a predicted model, not a curated record.
CUUCAGGAAGCUAGACUCCUCCACCAGAGCCUCCACAUUGGCCUCCAGGUCUGAUUUCCGCAGGUUCCCUGCACCGCUCUCCCUACGCCCAAGCCUCCUGUCUGGGCACACCUUUGCCUGGAAUGUUCCUGAAUGGCUGGCCACCUCCUCCAGGAAGGCUUUGUGAACUAGUCAGAGGGAGGCUGUGAUUUCUCCUCCUUUGUGUCAGCUGCUCAAGCAGCUCAUAAAAUACCCUUUCCGGGGCUUCCCAGGACCUCCUGGGAAGCUGGCGGCCAGCAGAGGGCAGCAGAUCCCCACCGCUGGCCGGGGAGGCCGAGCCCCCGGGUGCAAGAGCCCCAGACGCCAGGAGCUGCCUGCCUGCCUACCUGCCUGUGGCUCAGAGCUCGGGACUCUGGAGGAAGAUGCCAGAAACAGUCUGCUGACACUUCAGCAUCCACCCGUGUUUGCUACUGGACGGGCUGAGCUGCCGAACACAGCUUCUCUCCAUUAGCCAUAAAACGAGAACCACGGCUGCCACCAUGACCAAAACAAUAGCAGACAUUUGCUAUGCCCCCAACUGUGCCCCGGGCUGGGUGCUGAGCACCUUGGUUGUGUCCCUGUGUGUCAUCUCCACAGCGACUCCUUGAAGUAGGGAUGAUUUUCCCACUUGACAGGCAAGAGGCUUAUUGAGAUGAAGAGACAUAAGAACACGGGGGUGACCAACAUGGGUUCUGGAGUCCGGAUGCCGCUGCUUCCACCACUCAGCCUCUCUGGGCCUUGGUUUUGUCACCUGUCAAGUAAUAAUAAAGGAGGCUUAAGAGGGAAUAAUAAUGAAAGUACCUACCACAUACGGUCAUUGAGAGAAGCAAGUGAGCUAAAGCAUGAAACAUCGCUGCCUGACUGAUGACCUCCCGUCGCACGGCUAGUAAGUUUAGGCCCU